Molecule: ribosomal RNA, 253 nt
Filed under: uncultured bacterium
Lineage: Bacteria
Description: partial 16S ribosomal RNA
Rfam family: Bacterial small subunit ribosomal RNA
Source: RNAcentral
UACGUAGGGGCCUAGCGUUGUCCGGAAUUAUUGGGCGUAAAGAGCUCUUAGGCUGUUCGGCAAGUCGGAUGUGAAAUCUCCCGGCUUAACUGGGAGGGUGCAUUAGAAACUGGAAUGCUAGAGGAUGGGAGAGGUAAGCGGAAUUCCUGGUGUAGCGGUGAAAUGCGUAGAUAUCAGGAGGAACACCUGUGGUGUAGACAGCUUACUGGACCAUUUCUGACGCUGAGACACGAAAGCGUGGGUAGCAAACAGG